This 5142-nucleotide long non-coding RNA is filed under the name Bemisia tabaci. Its description in RNAcentral is "lncRNA ENSSSA2NGG010253". Lineage: Eukaryota; Metazoa; Arthropoda; Insecta; Hemiptera; Aleyrodidae. The record is from RNAcentral.
CACCACCUCUUUGUCUCUUUUUCAUUUCUCCUUGGUUGCACCACUUGUGUUUUAUGUGAAAUUUUGAUGAGGAAACAUCUACUCUACCUUUAUUUUUUCCUGAAAAGUUACCGAUAGUAAUUUGGAGAAGUUUAAACCAAGAUCAAAAGAGAUUUAAAGUAGUGGCUUAUAUGUUGGUAUGUUCAAAGCUAAGAAAAUCUUAAUUCAGCAUACUACCAAUUGCCUUUCAUUUUUUACCCAAUAGUCAUAAAAAAUGAAUCCGAAAGAUUCUAAAGUCUUGAUGUAUUUGUUUGUUUGUUUUGUUUUUUUAUUCUUUCUCUUUAAAUUUCUUGCAAGUAUCCAAUUUCUAAUAUCUUGAUCUGAAUUAUCUUUCAGAUGGUAAAGUUGAGGAAUUUGAAGUUCCAAAAGUGCCAGCGGAGAAAAUUAUUGACACAAACGGAGCAGGAGAUGCCUUCGUUGGUGGUUACUUGGCACAACUCAUCUUGGGAAAACCUUACCAAACUUCAAUCAAGUGUGGAAUGUGGGCUGCAUCUGAAAUCAUUCAAGUAUCUGGCACCAGUUUCAAGGGUAAAAAGUACUUUAAUGGGGAUAGUUAAAAACAGCACUUCAAAGUGGAAUCACACUCUGGCUCAGUUGUUCGAAGCUUUACUGAGCUGUAUGAUAUUUGCAAGCAGCUCAAUGAACAAUAUUUGAAACUUAAAAUUUAGCUAUGUUUGGACAAUGCUCACAUUUAGUUAAGUUCUGCUUUUGUUCUAACAUGCUCUCCAAUUUCAGACUUCAUUCUUUUUAUCCCAAGCUGUAUCCUUUGUCAUUAAGUUCUAGUUUGACCUUCAUUAUUUUCAUUACCGAAGCAUUUUAGUUUUGUAUUUUAAGUUUUCAGUUUUUGAGGUUUUUAUUGAAAUGGGUAUUUCUUAACUCAACUCAACCUCAUCUUAUGUGGCAAUUUUUUUUUUUGUCAUGAAUAUGUCUAGAUAGACUGUCAAAAUAGACCUACAUGAGUUCCUCAUAAAAUUUUGAAAAUAAGUGUAAUGAGUCUAUUUUUUUAACAGUUUAAGUAACUUGCUGGAAAAACUUUCUGUAGAAUUCGUGUCCGAUAAGUCGGCAGUUGUUUACUUUUGACUGUCAAGCUCCAUGGAUUGAUUUACAUAUCUGUGUCUGGCGGUGGUGGCCAAACCUCGAUUGCUAAUGGACGACUGCAACGCAGUUGCUUGUAAACAGGAAAUAAAAAAUUGCCAACUUAUCUGAUGCAAGUUCUAUUUAUUGUACUGUUUUUGUAAUGAAAGGAAUUAUUUAAAAAUCACACUUGAAUAGCUGAUAUUCCUAUUCCCAUAAUGAUUCCUCAAAUUAAUCUUGAGCACUGCACAAUCAGAAAAAUGUCUCAUAAAUAUGUAUGGAAAGGCUUAUAAAAUAUUUUAAUCAUUGAGGUCGGCACAUUGUUUACUACUCAUACAACAAUUUACUCUAGUUUUAUAUUUAAAGAUGCUGUUUGGAAGUAACAAGGCAAAAUUUUAAAUGCAAAUCAUUGCAAUUCUCUCUCACUCUGUAUUUUUUUCCCCUCUUUUUUUCAUAGACUGAUUUUAUUCACAAUCAAAACUUAUUUGUUCUGAAUCAUUGAAAAUUUUAUUUCUCAUUUGGCUGUGGAUAAUUUAAUCAAGAAUGCUGAGUUUGUUUGCAAAGACUCAUCAAAGCUUAUUCAGAUAAUUGUUUUGAAUUGAUGAAGUUUGUCUCAGUACUCAGUAGCAGAUACCAAUUGUAAGACUAUUAAUUUAAUAGACCAAAAGAGCGUGCUGACAGACCCCAGAGAGCAUUUUUAGGUAGAAUUUUAUGAAACUGAAAAUCAUUAUAUUCUCAUCAUCUUGACCCAACGUCCUGCGAGGUGAAUUUAAAUUUCAUGUCCCAUUUUAAACAUAUUCUAAGCUAAAUUAAGGCGCAUAUUGCCCAGGCUCAGUGCAAAUUAGCCCUGACAAUUAGCCUGAACACUUCUUCAGGUACAAAGGAUCAGACCAAAUGCAACAGUCAGUAGUCACGGAUGUAUUAUUCAAUUGUUUGAAAAAUGUGAACUGUGGAAAGUUGCCACGCGUGUGAAGCAAGUUGAAGGCAAAGAGGAAAAAACACGAAUAUUGUCAUGUCAAAACUUGAUUUCCUUAAAGGACUAUUAGCUAUGUAGAACGAAUUAGGUGACUAGCCUAUUCAGGAGUUGUCACAGCAAGUAAAUUGAAUUGAUUUUAAAUGAUUUUGCCUUGAUCAAGCUAUGUGUACAUCAAUCUUUAGCGACAGGUGACUCAUUUUUUUUUUCUCCGCCAAAAUACUUAAAAAUGGUACAUGAAAUUUCUAAGCAGAUAAAGAGACUUUCCUCAAAAGAAUGAAGAGAGUGACUUAAGUUUCUUCAAAUUCUUCCAAAAGUAGACUUUAAUUACAAGCUUGCAGGUUCUUUUUUUGUGAUUCUUCCGAUAGAUUUAUUUUUUACUUUAUGAUAAGAGAACUUGGUUUGAACAAACCAAAUUGUUGACUACAGGUGAAGGACUACCACAUUGCUGACUUUUCAAUUGUUUUGUUUUCAAACCUUCCUUGAAUGUGAAGCACCAGAUUUGCUGUUUUAAGCAGUGAAAUGGAAACGUGUACACCCACUCACCAAUUUUGUAUUUUCUGGGAAAGAAUUUUUCUGAAUUUGUGAUCUCUUAUUAUUUCUAUGUGGUUGUAUGUUUAUUUUAAAUCUCUUGUUACCGAACACCAUGAUGUUUAAUGAUUAUGAAUUGAGAUGUUACCUAUUUGUAAUUGAAGGAUUGCAUUAAAAUGUCUGGAAACAUUUUUAGGAUGUCGAAUUUCUGAUUUGCCAUACAUCUUAUGAGCCUCUGAUAGAUUAUCCUCCCCUAAUGAAGAUAGCACCUGGCAAAAAACAAUUGGAAAACAUUGAGGAAGACGAUUUUAUUUCUUUUAUUUUUUUAGUCCAGUGCAUCAACUCAUCAAUGUUUACCUUUUUUUGUACAAAUACAUCAGGUGUCCCAAAAGCAUUGCACACUCCUGUGUUUGAGAGAACAGUAAAAGUUAUUCUCUUGAGAUUUGCACAGGGUUCCAGGUUAAACCCUCAGCUCAAAACAAGACCAUGUGCAGGUUUCUGACUUAAUAACUACCAAAGUGAUAGCAUUUUGUAGAUGAUGUGUAAGAAGGGACCCUGGCAGUUUUUUAGCACUUGCUCUAAUUUAAAAGAUCAAAAAUUUAGACUCAGGAAAGUAUCCAACGGAAUUCAAUUGGCAAUAGAGUGAUGUUCGAGAAAAAUUGCAAUGGAAAGUGAUGACAAAAUUUCAAUUGUUGACACACAAGCUCAGUCUGGAGGAUCAAAUUUUUCAGUAGUCCGAGCAUUUUUUACAUUCAUUAAGUGCUAAAAAUACGCUAGGAUCCCUCCUUACCUGUUAUCUUUUAAAUUUUUUAACUUCGGCAGUUUUCAAAUGAGAGACGCCUGCACCAGGUCCUGCUUUAAGGCUGAGGUUUAAAUCUAAAGCCGUAUGCAAAUCGCAUCUUCAUUUGCUCUUACACAAGAAGUUCGCUGUACUUUUGGGGCUCCCUGUGUAAAAACUAAAAAAUGCACACCAUGGUUGGAUUUCUGUUCAAUUGUUCAUUUGCCAUAAACAAUCUUUACACAUGAGAAAUUGACAGAUUACAUGCACUUAUCUCCUUUUUAAAGUAGACUUAUCAUCUUGCAGGCAAUGCAACAUUUUAAUGAACUCUAUUUGUUCAUUCCUAGAACUCCUCAGUUUUGUCUGUUAAUGAGGCCAUUUAGACUUAACAUGUUGUGUCAUAUUUCUUUAUUUUGUUACUAAAUUAUUGCAUGACUUUUUUUAAUGUUUUUCAAAAGGCGUCAUGUUUCUGUCAAAUCCUCUUUGAUUGUGAUAAUAUAUUCCUCCAUGUAAUAAUACUAAUAAUUCGUUUUUCUCUGCUUUUUCCUCACUAUUUUGUGAUAAAAUUGAUCAUAACUCAAAGAAACACAGAAAAUUUAAAGCUGAGUGAUAAAAUCUAAAAGUGAAAUUAAAUAGAACUUUAUUUUUACUUACCCCAUCUGAAUUUCCCACAUACUGUCCAACUAUCAAAUCAUUUUGAACCAUAAAAAUGAAAGUAAACAUCACUGUAAGUAGGCUUAUAGUUCUAAAAUUAGUCUCAUGGCAGCAUUUCAAUGCUCUUUGAAUUCUGUUAAAGAUGCACAGUGUUUCUUACCGAAAAAUUCACAAUUGACAUUUGUUCAUUUACUAUUCUGUAACAAUACUAAAACCUGUUUUUUAAAUUUUGUCCAGUAAAAAAUUAACAAAGAAUGGUAAAAACUCUGGUCGCGAAACUAGAGAAGAAUUUAAAUUCUACACAGCAUGGAUUAAACAAAACAGAAAAGAAGGGAAACCCAACAGAAUAAAUAUUAGUAAAGAUAUGCUCUUUAAAAGUAAAAACUGGAAAUUGGGAAGAACAAAUCAACGAUUAGUUGUGACUGUUGUGAGAGCUUGUCAUUGACUCAUCGGGCAGCUUCAAAUGCUGACUAGACAAGACCGUAUUGCCAGCAUGGAAGUUGAGCAGAAUGCUUGUCCUGGUAUUGAUUGAUCUAUUACCACAAUUAAAACAUGUAGGAUGAAGAACAUGAAGGACCCAAGCACUACACCAUAGAAGGCUGCUAGCCAUUUGGGAAUUAAAACCGGUCCAUGAAUUUUACUGUGGGUAAUGCCACCUGGAAUGCCAAAACAUAAUUGCAAAGUUUAAAGAAUGGAGAAAGACAGCAUACUUAAUUGUAUAUAUGUUAAAUUAAAAAGAGACAUCAUCAAGGGUUGAUUUGAUUAGCGAGUGAGAAACUUUGUGACCCAUGUUAGGUAUGCCUACGUCUUAACAGGAUAGGAACUUUUUCAGACUCAGGGAUGCUCCAAACUCUAGUGAGAGCUUCUGUUUUGUGGAUUCUUAUAUUUUAACUACUCAGAAUUCACUCACUUCUAUGCACUGCUUAUUCAUCAAAUAUCAAUCAAAUAUAAGAGGAAAGGAUAUGGAGUACUAUCACUCCAAACUUUACCAGGUACACGUUGACCAUGCAAAGUUUCAAGUACACUUUCAUUACUCCAGUAAAAUAUGGAUUUAUAAUAGUUUGAAAAGAUUUUUUAAUGUGAUUUGAAGUGA